GUUUCUCGGGUUUGGUUUUCCUGUAUCAGCCCGUUACCGCCCCCGGCCCGGCACUGUCUCCACUUUCAUUUGGGGGGGUUCUGUUUUGAUAAGGCAAGGAGAAGGGAAGGAGCUCGAGCGGCGGAGGAGAGGAAGCGAUUUCUUAUGUUCAUGGCGAUUCCGGGCUAUUCCACCGCCCGAUUUCGAUUUCUCCUCCCUUUUCUCUUCGAUCCCCGCUGCCGCGGUUGGUUGUCCUUGUCUGUCGCGUUUCCCUGUGUUGUGGCUGUGUAGUUCCGGAUCUAGGUAAGUUUUGGAUCCGUGGUUCAUCUAUUAUUGGUGUUGUCCGUGGAUCCGUGGUAGGUGCAUGUUGCUGCCGUGUUUGUUUCUAGUCCGCCAUGCCUAGCGCUCCAUUUCCCAUCCUUCUGCCCGCCUGAGUUGUGUAGGAGCUUGUUGUAUGUGGGGAGUUCUAAUCCAUCUGCUUGUUGUGGUCCUUUUCUCCCCUGCUUGUAGAUGUAGAGGUAGGCGUAGGUUGUUUAUUCUAAUGUAGAUGUAGAGGUAGGCGAAGUGUUAUAGUUGCAGCGGUGGAUUCGCCCUAUCAAUUUUAUUUCUGCUGGCCUGGGUGUCUGUUCCUUUGUCGUUAGAUGUAGUUGCAGAUGGUCUAGCAUGGGUUUCUGCCUGCUUCUGCAGUUUACUUGUAGUUGCUGUUAGCUGCUGAUGUUUGCUGUUGUAGUCCCUGGAAUUCAGUAUGAUUUUUUUUGUUAGAUGUAGGUGUUCAUUUCACCCGGUACCUGAAUCUCUCUGAAUUUGUGUGUACUAGGCUGCAGUGUUGUUGUAGUGUUAGUCCAGGAAUCUCUCUGAAUUUCAUGCUUCUUUACGGUGUAUUUUUACUCCAAACUUGAAGUGUAACUUACCCCUAGAAUUACAGUGUAUCCCCAUCCAGAAUUACUGUGUAAUUUAACUCAUAAUUACAGUGUAACUUGCCCCAUAAUUGCAGUGCAUUUACAGUGUAUCCUGAUGCUUCUUUAUUUGUUGUUACUCUGUAAUUUGUCCUAGUAGUACUGUGUAUUUCCCCCCUAAUUACAGUGUAAUCCUGAUGCUUCUUUCUUCAGUGUAAAUUUUGCUAUAAUUACUGUGUAACAUGUCGUAGAAUUACACUGUAGGUUACCCUGCAAUUACAGUGCAAUAUACCGUGAUUACCGUGUGUUUUUUGUGCUUCUUUAUUUGUAAUUACUGUGUAAUUUGUUCUAGAAUUACUGUGUAAUAUUUCCCCCCAUUACAGUGUAAUUCUCAUGUGUCGUAGAAUCACACUGUAGGUUAGCCUGCAAUUACAGUGUAAUAUACCGUAAUUACAUUGUUUUUUUCGUGCUUCUUUAUUUUGUAAUUACUGUGUAAUUUUCCCUAGAGUUAUUGUGUAAUAUUUUCCCCCGUUACAGUGUAAUUCUCAUGCUUCUUUCAGUGUAAAUUGCAGUGUAUAUUUUUCAGUGUAAUACUGCGCCAGUUUCUUUGUUAUUUACAUUGUAAUUUUUCUCAGAUGUUUUGCAUGCAUUCAUGUGGUUUUGCACUGUAAUAUCCCCCAUUCUUACUAUAUAAUUUAUCUUCAGUUUUUGGCAGUGUACUUCCUCUACCUUUUCAUUGUAAGUUGCCCUAAUUAUUGUGUAUUUUGUGACUCAGAGUUUCACUGUAUUUAGGUUGGUUUUUACACUGUAUUUUAAGUGAUUCUUGCACUGUAUUAAUAUGCCCCAUUAUUCUAUAAUUCCCCUGAUUGCUGCCUUUCAGUGUAUUUGUUGUGAGAUUUCCCUUGUAAUUGAGCCCCAUUACUCUAUAAUUUUCAACUUUCUUUAAUUUCUUUUUUUUCGUGUGUCAUGUAUUCUGUUUUGUUAGGUUCAGGUCAAUGGGGGGACUACGGAAAGUCUCUCACAAGGAUGUUUCGGUAGUUUCUUCUAUCGUGAGUGCUGAUUCUUGGAAUGAUCCUUUUGUGCCUAAUGACUUUGCGGAAGAUGGUUCUAAUGCUAUGUCUUUGGCUAGUUCAUGUAGGAGGUGUAUGUAGAGCAGCGGGGUGAGGAAAAACAUGGAAGAGUUCAAUAGAAGUGUGAUCAAAAGGAGUAGGACAUUACGUGAGCUGUGGACCGUCUCUUGGAUGAUCUUCCUCUGUCCUCCACCAAUUAUUCGGAUCUGUUCUUCCCCCUUGCUUCUCUCCAGGUGAUUUGUUGUCCAGGAAAGGAAAAAAGAGCGUGGGCAACGGUCCAGGUGGGUUUCGUGAUAGUUGCCUUGUUUUGUUUUGGUUAUUAGUUAGAACCGCGGGUCAGAUUUUAGCCGCCCGACCCAUUUUUUUGGAAAUACAAGCAUACAAUUGUCCAUGGUAUUUGGACAUAGGUGUCAGCGCUUGAUUUGUCAGGAAAUUUGACUAUAAUAUAGUGCUUUUUACCUUUGUAUUGGAUGACUUUCUUCGUUAUUUAACUUGUUUACCCCUAACCCGGGUCUGAUGUUCAACCCUGACCCGUUUAGGCGUUCUUUUUUGCUUUAUGUUGAUUUUCCUGCUCAUACAGGUGUAAUGUGUUGAUUGGUCAGGAAAUUUGACUGUUUUUGAAUUGAAAAACAGUCAAAUGUCAAAUAGACAGUCCCAAAAAAAACACGCUUACGCCGCACCGGAAACUGACAGCCAGAGGCCGAGGGCAGACAGGACACCGCCACCGAACACAAGAGAAUAGAUUGAUCGAUACGUUCUUUCGCAUAGGUCAGAAGCAGAGAACACCUAUUCCCUCGAACACACAUACGUAACAGAGAUAGGAAAACCUAGGUUAGUUAGGACGCGAGCCCUGAUCCAUCGCCUUCCUAUCUCUUCGCCAUGGCUAACCACGGCGAGUGCCUAGCCAAGACGUCGUCGAGAUGCAUCACGGAGACCUUCACCGGGACGCACGACUUCGAGGUCACCAGCUACUCGCUGCUCGAAGGCAUGGGCGUCGGGAAGUUCGUCGGCUCGAGCACGUUCAGCGUCGGGGGCUACGACUGGCAGAUCCGAUUCUACCCCGACGGAGACAGGGAGGCGAACGAAGGCGCCUACGCAUCCGUCUUCUUGUUCUCCACUGAGAGGUCGGUCAAAGUGAAGUUCACUCUGAAUCUAUUUGCCAGAGAAGGCAGCAUAUCUGUACUCAACGCCGCUAAGCCGUAUACAUUCGAGUCGGCGGGUCUUGCCUAUGGGUAUACCAAGUUUGUGGAGAAGUCCAGGCUGCUACAACUCAACGACUUCACAAUAAGAUGUAAUCUCACGGUCAUCAAGGAGCCUCGCACCCUAGAUGUCAGCAUGGUCGUCGUCCCGCCGUCGAACCUGCACGACCACUUCGCCAGCAUGUUCAAGAGCGGGAGAGGCGCCGACGUCAAGUUCAGCGUAGGCGGCCACGUGUUCGACGCGCACGCGUGCGUGCUGGCCGCGCGAUCGCCGGUCUUCAUGGCCGAGCUCUUUGGUCACAUGAAGGAGGGCACCGCGCCAUGCAUCGAGAUCGACGACAUGGAGCCUUUGAUCUUCGAGGCGCUUCUCAGCUUCAUCUAUACAGACACCAUGCCGGAUAAUUUGUAUGUCGGGGCCAACAUGCCAGGCCUGCUGGAUGCCGGGAUCGCUACGGGAUGGACAGGCUGAAGGCCAUGUGUGAACAGAAGCUCUACUCGAGCAUUAGCGUGCAAACGGUUGCGGCGACACUAGCUUUAGCAGAGCAGCACCAUUGCGUCGCACUAAAAGAUGCAUGUCUUAGGUUCCUCUCUUCACGGGACGUGCGCCGGGCUGUCAAAGCAACUCGUGGAUUCAAGAACCUCGAAACAAGCUGUCCCUCGGUUGUCAUGGAGUUUUUUGACAUGGCUGCCCCGCUGCCAUGAGUAGCUUGUAGCUUUCAUUGGAGUAUAGCCGCAGUAUAUAUCGUAUUUGGUUGAUCAUAACAUACCAUGUAACUGGCAUCAUCGAUGAACCUCGAGAAUGUGUUCCUUCUGAUAUGCGCUACA
Molecule: non-coding RNA, 3969 nt
Organism: Aegilops tauschii subsp. strangulata
Lineage: Eukaryota; Viridiplantae; Streptophyta; Magnoliopsida; Poales; Poaceae
Source: RefSeq, a predicted model, not a curated record